GAUGAACGCUGGCGGCGUGCCUAAUACAUGCAAGUCGAGCGAACGGACGAGAAGCUUGCUUCUCUGAUGUUAGCGGCGGACGGGUGAGUAACACGUGGAUAACCUGCCUAUAAGACUGGGAUAACUUCGGGAAACCGGAGCUAAUGCCGGAUAAUAUUUUGAACCGCAUGGUUCAAAAGUGAAAGACGGUCUUGCUGUCACUUAUAGAUGGAUCCGAGCUGCAUUAGCUAGUUGGUAAGGUAACGGCUUACCAAGGCAACGAUGCAUAGCCGACCUGAGAGGGUGAUCAGCCACACUGGAACUGAGACACGGUCCAGACUCCUACGGGAGGCAGCAGUAGGGAAUCUUCCGCAAUGGGCGAAAGCCUGACGGAGCAACGCCGCGUGAGUGAUGAAGGUCUUCGGAUCGUAAAACUCUGUUAUUAGGGAAGAACAUAUGUGUAAGUAACUGUGCACAUCUUGACGGUACCUAAUCAGAAAGCCACGGCUAACUACGUG
RNAcentral lists this ribosomal RNA (497 nucleotides) under uncultured bacterium. RNAcentral describes it as "partial 16S ribosomal RNA". It matches the Rfam family "Bacterial small subunit ribosomal RNA", at positions 28 to 507 of the family's 1533-position model. The record is from RNAcentral.